This is a non-coding RNA of Mycena leptocephala, 95 nucleotides long. Lineage: Eukaryota; Fungi; Basidiomycota; Agaricomycetes; Agaricales; Mycenaceae. The record is from the annotation of a GenBank genome assembly.
GCGGAUAUGGUGCACGGUGCACCGCUGCAUUUCAUGUGGGGUAAGGAAAAACAAAAUUGAAGCAGCUACCCGGGGUUCGAGUCCCCUCGUCCGCG